UGCCAAUCCUUUUGGAGAGAAGUUAAAAGAGAAAAGCAACUUUUAAAUGAGAUUGGGAGCUAAAAUGGAAAAGACAGACAGUAACAAGUGUUGGUGAAGAUGUGGAGAAAUUAGGACCGUCAUACACUGCUGGUGGGAAUGGAAAAUGUACAUGCAGCCACUUUGGAAAACAAUUUGGCAGUUUCUCAAAAUGCUGAACAUGAAGUUACCAUGUGACCCAGCAAUUUCACUCCUAGCUAUGAGGAAGGAACUGUGCUCUGUGAUCAUGCCGGACAGAAGGAGAACAGAGUCAAAUGGGCUAACAUGUGUCUGUGCUCCUCUUGAGAGGCAAACCACAGGCCCAAAUCACAGCACUAACAAGUGGCAAAGCAAAGGAAGGAAUGCAGGUGCAGCUGGUUCCAGCGCUCAGGGCUCCUUCCUUCCCUGGAUGCGGAGAAUAUUCUAGCCUUCCUCGCCAAAACAGGCAGAGCAGAGCCAAGAGAUUUUGCAAAGACUGAAUCAUGAAGAAGGAACCAGGCCUCCCCUGGAUGAGCCUUGGAAAGCCCAACCACAGGGUCACAAAAAACAGUGAGGAAACAGAGGCACAGAGAGGUUAAGCAGUCUGCCUGAGGUCACCAAGUGAGAGAACUGAGAACUGUGAACCCACAGCUUUUGGAGUCUUAUACCUCUAGGUGGGAGAAUUUUCAGUCUGGGACAUGACUGAGGGAGUGGAAAUAAAGCGGAGGUUAGCAGUGUCCUUACUCCCACGAGGACAGGCCAGGAGCUCUGGCCCUGCCACAUUCAGGCCCCUGGGACCCACAGCACUGCAGCAGAACCAGAGAAGCUCCAGACCCUUGUCCCCAGGUUUUGAUGCCACCCCCAGGCCUUUGCCUGGGAUGGAAAGUCACCUGCUCCGUCACAGGGGAUACCCGGAAUAUCUGGGUUGGAUCACAGGCCAGCAGAAUUUGCGGAGGUUCAUCUCAUCCCAUAACAACCAAAAGGACUUGAGAGCUUGAUAUUUAAUGGAAAAGCCAUCACCAUUCUCAUGGAACUCAGCUGAAAGGAUGUAUGCUCAUGGGUGCCAGGCC
This 1067-nucleotide long non-coding RNA is filed under the name Equus caballus (horse). RNAcentral describes it as "lncRNA (ENSECAG00000056827.1)". The record is from RNAcentral. Lineage: Eukaryota; Metazoa; Chordata; Mammalia; Perissodactyla; Equidae.